AAUUUAAAUAGUUUAAGAAAAAUAUUGAUUUGUGGUGUCAAUGAUGAGAGAUAUUCUCUUUAAAUC
RNAcentral lists this transfer RNA (66 nucleotides) under Oxysarcodexia terminalis. RNAcentral's name for it is "tRNA-His". The record is from RNAcentral. Lineage: Eukaryota; Metazoa; Arthropoda; Insecta; Diptera; Sarcophagidae.